GAUCUGGGUUAGAAUUGCUGAAAUAUAUUUAUCGGACCAAGCCGUGGAUGCAUCUAGGGUAUAAUGGAGAGUGAUCGUAAGGUAUACCCUGGAGAUUAUCGA
Long non-coding RNA from Haliotis rubra (blacklip abalone), 102 nucleotides. RefSeq lists it as uncharacterized. The transcript has 3 exons. Lineage: Eukaryota; Metazoa; Mollusca; Gastropoda; Lepetellida; Haliotidae. The record is from RefSeq and is a predicted model, not a curated record.